This is a long non-coding RNA of Magnolia sinica, 1168 nucleotides long. RefSeq lists it as uncharacterized. The record is from RefSeq and is a predicted model, not a curated record. The transcript has 2 exons. NCBI's taxonomy places the organism in Eukaryota, Viridiplantae, Streptophyta, Magnoliopsida, Magnoliales, Magnoliaceae.
CAAACUUUUUUUUUUGCCAAACAAAUAUGAAAAAAUAUGGAUUAAAUCCGGAAUAUUCUAAGCAUUCCAAAUAUGCAUUCAUUUAUUAAUUAAAACAUGUUUAUGGUUGUGUAACGGUCCACUCUUUAGUGAGAAGUUGUAUCGGACUGUUUGAUGAAUUUACGAACUAGAUAACCUGAAUUUGACUACAAAAUUCAUAUAUUUAAAUUUCUAACUAUCUACUAUCAAUGAUAGAUAUAUUAGAAUGAAUGUAAUAUGAAAAUAUCUUACAUUAGGUGUUUGCAAUUAUUUUUUAGGGCCAAAAUUCAUGCGUAAAUAGACAAAAAUAUAAAAAAAUAUAUAAAAUGGCACCCCAAAUAUGUAAAAUGCACAUUAACAUGUUCUACUAUGAUUAACACAUCAUAUGACAUCAUUAAAACAGCAAAAGAAUCAUUAAAAAAUGAUUUUUUGAAUUUUCAGAAAAAGGGCCGAAAUAAAUGCGUAAAUAGAAAAAAAUAUAAAAAAAUAUAAAAUGGCACCCCAAAUAUGUAAAUUGCACAUUAACAUGUUCUACUAUGAUUAACACAUCAUAUGACAUCAUUAAAACAGCAAAAGAAUCAUUAAAAAAUGAUUUUUCGAAUUUUCAAAAAAAGGGCCGAAAUAAAUGCGUAAAUAGAAAAAAAUAUAAAAAAAAUAUAAAAUGGCACCCCAAAUCUGUAAAAUGCAUAUUAACAUGUUCUACUAUGAUUAACACAUCAUAUGGCAUCAUUAAAACAGCAAAAGAAUCAUUAAAAAAUGAUUUUUCGAAUUUUCAAAAAAAGGGCCAAAAUAAAUGCGUAAAUAGAAAAAAAUAUAAAAAAUAUAUAAAAUGGCACCCCAAAUCUGUAAAAUGCACAUUAACAUGUUCUACUAUGAUUAACACAUCAUAUGAAGUCAUUAAAACAGCAAAAGAAUCAUUAAAAAAUGAUUUUUCGAAUUUUCAAAAAAAGGGCCAAAAUAAAUGCGUAAAUAGAAAAAAAUAUUAAAAAAAUAUAAAAUGGCACCUCAAAUCUGUAAAAUGCACAUUAACAUGUUCUACUAUGAUUAACACAUCAAAUGGCAUGAUUAAAACAACAAAACAACCAUUAAAAUUUGAUUUUUCGAAUUUUAAAAAAAGGGGCCAAAAUUCAUGCGUAAAUAGAAAAAAAUA